AAAAAAAGGAAAGAAAAGAGAAAAGCAAUGACAAAAAAAAAAAAAAAAAAAGCCAAGACAAUGUUCCUUGAUUUAAAAAAAAAAAGAAAAGAAAAAAGAAAGAAAAGAAAAAAAUUAAAAUAGACCAUUCCAGAUGGUGAUCUACCCUUCCCCCCAAUUAUCACAAAAGGAGCUAUAAUCACUAACUUAUUCUUAAUAAUAAUGGUUACUGGUACCCUUACAAUAAUGUACAAUCCAAUGUUUAAAAAUUAUACCACUUGAGUUUGGUUUGAUCCUAUAAAUUUUCAACAAAUGUCUUAAAAUUUAAAAGCAGGCUGAUUAGUUUGGAACCAGACUGCAAGUAGAGCUAACAUUUGGUGAAUAAGAAAACAUCACAUUACAUUUUGGAUGUAUGAAAGAAAACUUGACCAUUUGAAGAUAUAUGAAUAAAGAAAUGUACUAUAGAUACUACUUUAGGAAAACACUGUUUGUCGUGAAAGGUGCCAAAUUGGCAGAGGCUCACGUUUCUUCUCUUUACACCAAACAGCAGAGAGAGAUCAUCAUUGCCUGAAUUUAGCUUUGUGACUGCAAGAGCAAGACCAGUUCCUGUCUGGAGACGACUGUUACAAUAAUAUCAUCCUAUUAUUUUAUGUUCACUCUUUAUCAAUUUGAACAGAUGUUUACAUGUACUAUAAUUAGCAUUUUAUCUCUACAGUUCUCUAAGAGUACAUCUGAGUCCAAAGUGUAUCUGAAUGUGUGCUCUGACCUUAUUCUUAAAUGUUUUCUCCCCGUACUUUAUAGCCAUUUAUUUUUUAAACACCUUAAGAAGGAACGAAAAAGUUCUCUUGGAUGACGUAUAUUCAAGUCUGAGCCAAAUUGAGGAUUGUGUCUAGGAAAUCUGUAAAGCCAUACUACUGUGUUCAUUAGCAUGAGCAAUUUAAAAUGAAAAUGAAUUAAAAAGUUAAACAUGAGUUUGGUUUUAAUUUUGGGGGGAUCUUAAGAUAUAUUUCUGGGAGUAGGA
Molecule: long non-coding RNA, 1000 nt
Filed under: Pan troglodytes (chimpanzee)
Lineage: Eukaryota; Metazoa; Chordata; Mammalia; Primates; Hominidae
Description: long non-coding RNA NONPTRT004545
Source: RNAcentral